This 1521-nucleotide ribosomal RNA is filed under the name metagenome. RNAcentral's name for it is "bacterial SSU rRNA". It matches the Rfam family "Bacterial small subunit ribosomal RNA". The record is from RNAcentral.
AGAGUUUGAUCCUGGCUCAGAACGAACGCUGGCGGCGUGCCUAAUACAUGCAAGUCGUGCGAGAAAGUGGGGGCAACCCCAUGAGUAAAGCGGCAAACGGGUGAGUAACACGUAAGUAACCUACCCCUAAGUCUGGGAUACCCCUGCUAAAGCGGGGCUAUACCGGAUGUUGACCGAUGACCGCACGGUUGUCGGACCAAAGAUGACCUCUACUUGUAAGUCAUCGUUCAGGGAUGGGCUUGCGCACCAUUAGUUAGUUGGCGGGGUAACGGCCCACCAAGGCUAUGAUGGUUAGCCGGCCUGAGAGGGUGUACGGCCACAUUGGGACUGAGAUACGGCCCAGACUCCUACGGGAGGCAGCAGUAGGGAAUUUUGCGCAAUGGGCGAAAGCCUGACGCAGCAACGCCGCGUGAGGGAUGAAGGUCUUCGGAUUGUAAACCUCUGUUGGGUGGGAAGAAACUUUCCGGGAGUAAUUCUCCUGGAGACUGACGGUACCGCCCGAGGAAGCCCCGGCUAACUACGUGCCAGCAGCCGCGGUAAUACGUAGGGGGCAAGCGUUGUUCGGAAUCACUGGGCGUAAAGGGAGCGUAGGCGGGAGUGUAAGUUAGGAGUCUAAUUCACGGGCUUAACCUGUGACCUGCUCCUAAGACUGCACUUCUUGAGUAUGGGAGAGGAUGAUGGAAUUCCAGGUGUAGCGGUGGAAUGCGUAGAUAUCUGGAAGAACACCAGUAGCGAAGGCGGUCAUCUGGCCCAAUACUGACGCUGAGGCUCGAAAGCUAGGGUAGCAAACAGGAUUAGAUACCCUGGUAGUCCUAGCUAUAAACGAUGGACACUAGAUGCUGGGGGAGUCAAUCUUCUCAGUGUCGAAGCUAACGCAUUAAGUGUCCCGCCUGGGGAGUACGCCCGCAAGGGUGAAACUCAAUGGAAUUGACGGGGGCCCGCACAAGCGGUGGAGUAUGUGCUUUAAUUCGAUGCAACGCGAAGAACCUUACCUGGGCUUGACAUGGGAAUGAAAGCUUCCAGAGAUGGGGGCCCUUCCGCAAGGAACAUUCUACACAGGUGCUGCAUGGUUGUCGUCAGCUCGUGUCGUGAGAUGUUGGGUUAAGUCCCGCAACGAGCGCAACCCUCGUCCUUAGUUGCCAUCAGGUAAUGCUGGGAACUCUAAGGAGACUGCCUGGUUUUAACCAGGAGGAAGGCGGGGAUGACGUCAAAUCAUCAUGGCUCUUACGUCCAGGGCUAGACACGUACUACAACGGUCGGUACAAUGGGACGCGACAUCGCGAGAUGGAGCAAAUCCCCGAAAACCGGCCUCAGUUCAGAUUGGAGUCUGCAAUUCGACUCCAUGAAGGCGGAAUCGCUAGUAAUCGUGGAUCAGCAUGCCACGGUGAAUACGUUCCCGGGCCUUGUACACACCGCCCGUCAAGCCACGAAAGAUGGAAGUACCCAAAGUCAUUCUUCUAACCGCAAGGGGGAAGGUGCCUAAGGUAAGACCAUUGAUUGGGGCUAAGUCGUAACAAGGUA